UACGGAGGGUGCGAGCGUUGUCCGGAAUCACUGGGCGUAAAGGGCGCGUAGGCGGCCUGAUAAGUAGGGGGUGAAAUCCUGCGGCUUAACCGCAGGGCUGCCUUCUAAACUGUCAGGCUUGAGCACAGUAGGGGCAGGUGGAAUUCCCGGUGUAGCGGUGGAAUGCGUAGAGAUCGGGAAGAACAUCAGUGGCGAAGGCGGCCUGCUGGGCUGUUGCUGACGCUGAGGCGCGACAGCGUGGGGAGCAAACAGG
RNAcentral lists this ribosomal RNA (253 nucleotides) under uncultured bacterium. RNAcentral describes it as "partial 16S ribosomal RNA". It matches the Rfam family "Bacterial small subunit ribosomal RNA", at positions 524 to 776 of the family's 1533-position model. The record is from RNAcentral.